GAUGAACGCUGGCGGCGUGCCUAAUACAUGCAAGUCGAGCGAACAUUCUUUGUGCUCGCUUCCCUGCCGUUACCGGCGGACGGGUGAGUAACACGUGGAUAACCUACCUAUAAGACUGGGACAACUUCGGGAAACCGGAGCCAAUACCGGAUAUUAUAAUGAACCGUAAGGAUCAAUAGUGCAAGAUGGCUUUGCUGUCACUUAUUGAUCGAUCCGCGUCGCAUUAGCUAGUUGGUAAGGUAACGGCUUACCAAGGCAACGAUGCGUAGCCGACCUGAGAGGGUGAUCGGCCACACUGGAACUGAGACACGGUCCAGACUCCUACGGGAGGCAGCAGUAGGGAAUCUUCCGCAAUGGGCGAAAGCCUGACGGAGCAACGCCGCGUGAGUGAUGAAGGUCUUCGGAUCGUAAAACUCUGUUAUUAGGGAAGAACAAAUGUGUAAGUAACUAUGCACGUCUUGACGGUACCUAAUCAGAAAGCCACGGCUAACUACGUG
This 497-nucleotide ribosomal RNA is filed under the name uncultured bacterium. RNAcentral describes it as "partial 16S ribosomal RNA". It matches the Rfam family "Bacterial small subunit ribosomal RNA", at positions 28 to 507 of the family's 1533-position model. The record is from RNAcentral.